Molecule: ribosomal RNA, 216 nt
Filed under: Glomeromycotina sp.
Lineage: Eukaryota; Fungi; Glomeromycota
Description: partial small subunit ribosomal RNA
Rfam family: Eukaryotic small subunit ribosomal RNA (bases 40-216)
Source: RNAcentral
GGGCCAGUAGGUUGGUCGUGCCACCGGUACGUACUGGUCUCACUGAUUCCUCCUUCCUGAAGAACCGUAAUGCCAUUAAUUUGGUGUUGCGGGGAAACAGGACUGUUACUUUGAAAAAAUUAGAGUUUUUAAAGCAAGCUAACGCUUGAAUACAUUAGCAUGGAAUAAUGAAAUAGGACGAUCGAUCCUAUUUUGUUGGUUUCUAGGAUUGACGUA